AAGAUUUUAAGUUAAAAAACUAUUUACCUUCAAAGUAAAAAUUAUAUUUUAUUAUAUAAAUCUUA
RNAcentral lists this transfer RNA (65 nucleotides) under Haemaphysalis sulcata. RNAcentral's name for it is "tRNA-Trp". Lineage: Eukaryota; Metazoa; Arthropoda; Arachnida; Ixodida; Ixodidae. The record is from RNAcentral.